UGGAAAUGAUGAAAUAGAGAUAUUUGGGUUUUGAAUGUCAUGUGACUGGAAGUUUUAAAUAUGUAUGUUUAGUAAUUCUUCUAAGUUAAUAUUCUAUAGACACUUAGUACAGUGUGUGUGUGUGUGUGUGUGUGUGUGUGCGCGCGCUUGCUUGUGGUGGCUAUGGAAAGGGGGCACUGACUGGUGAUGCUGAUAUUGGAGUGCAUCUGAGGCUGUUGUAGACAUAACAUGGGUUGUUGAUUACAACAUUGCCGAUGAUUAUAACCCAAGAACAGCUCACCUAAGUAGCCCAGCACCCUAAAAUCUCUAACAGGUCCAUUAAACAUGGUCCCGUGAUCUGAUCCAA
Molecule: non-coding RNA, 346 nt
Organism: Microcebus murinus (gray mouse lemur)
Lineage: Eukaryota; Metazoa; Chordata; Mammalia; Primates; Cheirogaleidae
Source: Ensembl